UCUAAAACUAUUUCAGAAACAGCUGGCGAAAUUCCCUCGACCUUUCCAUUCUUUUUUCAUAGGGUUAAAUUCCCUCUCCCUAACUCUCAAAAUCUUAGGGCUAACUGAAUCAUUCUCUCUUUUCAUCAUCUUCCAUAUCGACUAAGCUGUCGCAUUACUUGAAAAGAGUGGUGGUGUUGGGAGGAGUUUCAGAAAUGGAUAGAUAGUGCGUGGUGGAUUUGGAGCACUCGUGAUUGGUUUUGAGGUUAUGGCUAGAUGGUUGCUCCUCCACUCUUGAAGAAAUAUUGGACUUCUCAUCUCCAAGGCUUGUGGAAGGUCCUCAAAGAUCCGAGGACAUAUGCACUUGAUACCACUUUAUGUUUUCUCUAUUGAUGUAAUAGACUUAGUAAAUCUUUUCUUAUGUACAUUUGUUCUAAAGACUAUUGUGUCUAAAGGGCUAAGGUCCCUAUUUGUAGAAUUUUGUUGUUAGAUGGUGAUUGUGAGUUUUGUUGAACUAUUAUUUAUAGAUUGUGAUUGUGA
Long non-coding RNA from Solanum pennellii, 519 nucleotides. RefSeq lists it as uncharacterized. NCBI's taxonomy places the organism in Eukaryota, Viridiplantae, Streptophyta, Magnoliopsida, Solanales, Solanaceae. The record is from RefSeq and is a predicted model, not a curated record. The transcript is spliced from 3 exons.